RNAcentral lists this ribosomal RNA (253 nucleotides) under uncultured bacterium. RNAcentral describes it as "partial 16S ribosomal RNA". It matches the Rfam family "Bacterial small subunit ribosomal RNA", at positions 524 to 776 of the family's 1533-position model. The record is from RNAcentral.
UACGAAGGGGGCUAGCGUUGUCCGGAAUUAUUGGGCGUAAAGAGCUCGUAGGCGGCCUGUCACGUCGGAUGUGAAAGCCCGGGGCUUAACCCCGGGUCUGCAUUCGAUACGGGCAGGCUAGAGUUCGGCAGGGGAGAUCGGAAUUCCUGGUGUAGCGGUGAAAUGCGCAGAUAUCAGGAGGAACACCGGUGGCGAAGGCGGAUCUCUGGGCCGAUACUGACGCUGAGGAGCGAAAGCAUGGGGAGCGAACAGG